GUCUAUGGCCAUGCCACCCUGAACGUGCCUGAUCUCAUCUAAUCUCGGAAGCUAAGCAGGAUCGAGCCUGGUUAGUACUUGGAUGGGAGACCACCUAGGAAAAUCAGGUGCUGUAGGUG
This 119-nucleotide ribosomal RNA is filed under the name Pteropus alecto (black flying fox). The record is from RNAcentral. Lineage: Eukaryota; Metazoa; Chordata; Mammalia; Chiroptera; Pteropodidae.